RNA transcript from Eleginops maclovinus (Patagonian blennie), 1969 nucleotides. It is a transcript of the gene named transcription factor LBX1-like, with no coding region annotated. The record is from RefSeq and is a predicted model, not a curated record. The transcript is spliced from 3 exons. NCBI's taxonomy places the organism in Eukaryota, Metazoa, Chordata, Actinopteri, Perciformes, Eleginopidae.
CUUGAUACUGGAGGUCCGUCCCUGCUGUUGGUGCAUUAUCAUCCACCGUCCUCCUUUCAGCCCGUGCCUCUUAGAGACGGCUGGGCUGGCGGAGAGAAGUGUCUCUGCAGCAGGCUGCAGCUCGCCUGCCGAAAUGCGGCUGGACCGGCACCUGUGAUCCGAGUGGAUCAGCUUCACUGUCUGCUCAACUUUCCGACAGCCUGUCGGCUCUCCCUGCUUUGAAAAGCUCUUCUCAAAGUGACCACGGUCGUGUUCGACCCAGUGAGCCGCCAUGACAUCUAAGGACUCCUCCAAAUGCCCAGCAGGGCUCGAGGAGCGGCGCCGCAGCCCGCUGGAUCAGCUCCCGCCACCGACCAGCUCCAACAAGCCGUUGACACCUUUCAGCAUCGAAGACAUCCUCAACAAGCCGUCAGUAAGGAGCGGAGCGGCACGCAACGGCUUUUCCGGAGAGAAGCUGCCUCUGGCGGGGAACAAGCUAUCCUGCCUGCCGCUGCUAACUCACAGCUCCCCGCUGUGCGCGCUGGAGGAACUGGCCAGCAAAACAUUCAGUGGCCUGGAGGUCAGCGUACUGCAGGCGGCCGAGGGCCGCGACGGCCUGACGCUCUUCGGCCAAAGAAACGCCCCAAAGAAGCGGCGGAAGUCCCGGACGGCGUUUACAAACCACCAGAUCUACGAGCUGGAGAAACGCUUCCUGUACCAGAAGUACCUGAGCCCAACGGACCGGGACCAGAUCGCCCAGCAGCUAGGUCUGACCAACGCGCAGGUUAUCACCUGGUUUCAGAACCGGCGGGCGAAGCUCAAGCGGGACCUGGAGGAGAUGAAAGCUGAUGUGCAGUCCGCCUCGGCGGUGUCCGGCGCUGUUGCCCUGGAGAAGCUCUCCGAUCUGGCCGAGCUAAAGAAGUGCACUGACGGCGUAAUCGGCGCUGGGACUCUUCCCGAGCUUGACCCGGAAUCCAGGUCAUGCCUUGCCGCCGUGGGGAGCCUGGCUUCCAGCAGAGCGCCUCUCUCCCCCGCAGCGCCGCGGCUCACAGACCGGCUCAGCAGCAAGGGCUGCUCGGAGGAUGAAGAUGAAGAAAUUGACGUGGAUGACUGAAGUGUGUCAUUGUCACAGCAGUGUGAAGGGCAGAUGUCUGCAGACAAAAACGUUGGCUUUACGCGCUCUCCGCUGAGGAACAGGCGCGCGAAGCGUUCCGCAGAGACGUGCAGGUGUGCAGUGCGGCUCUCAGCGCACAAUGGAGGCCGGAGAAAAGCGUUUCAGGGCCAUAUGGUUCACAGACUCUCCUAUCAAUCACGAGUCACUUUGAUUGAUUGUGUUAACCCGUCUUUUCAUGGAUGGAGCCCCCUUUGUGUCGCACAGAGAGCAGACACACUCGCUGGUAAAACACGGCUAUGAAUGUGAAUAGAGAAUACACUGACUGAUAUUAUUAACGCUUUACAUCAUUAGCAAAGUACUGCAAAUGUUGUAUGCCUAUAAUCUAUAAUAUUAAUAAUUGAAGGUAAAACAAAUAAAAUUAAGAAGCAUGAAUGAAGUAUUUUUUUUCUGUAAUUCCCAUUAAAAUAGUUGAAGAGGGUCAUUCCAGAAUUGGUGGACAAUUUAGACAUCAAACUUUGAACAUGAACCCUUUAUUUUAUUUUAUGUUGUGUAUUUGAGAAAAACAGGUAACCAUCAAACCACCACCCGUUCAUUUUGAUUUAGAUGUUAAGGAAAAAAUAUUUAAAUAAUAACUGGAACCUUAACAUGUUUAGGCUCCCUGGUGCGAAUAACAAAAUAGGCAAUUAAUAUUCUGGGAAAAUACAGUAGAUUAGUACAUUGAAAACAUAGAUUAUGCUAAACCAGGGAUGUCCACUGAGGGCCGCAUACAGAAAAUAUACGAAGGUCUGGGCCCCUCACUAGAGGUAAGUUACCUCAUAAGUGAAGUUAUAGUUAGCAAAAUCAAUGAAAUCUAGGGAAAUGAUUCUUGACAAUAAA